Molecule: long non-coding RNA, 1162 nt
Organism: Crotalus tigris (Tiger rattlesnake)
Lineage: Eukaryota; Metazoa; Chordata; Lepidosauria; Squamata; Viperidae
Exons: 3
Source: RefSeq, a predicted model, not a curated record
UUGGGCUGAUCUUAAGCCACUUAGGGCUUGAAAAGUUCACAUCAACAAACUCUUAGCCUCAGGUAGACAGGAAAGGUAUGAAUUUGUCUUACAAUACACUAUAAAUGCGGUAGAAAUCUGCAGUCAGUCACAGAUGUCUGCUUGUUUACCUGUAUGAUAUACAUGCUUGUAAACAUUCACUUGAAAUUUGCUAAAGAAUAUACGGAGUGGCUUUUAUUCAGUGCACAGAUACCAACAAUUUUAAACUUUGCUACAGCUUGUUAUAUGAGCAAUAUCAUGCCCCUAAAAUUCCCUGCUUCAUGAAUAUUCACAGAACGCUCAUGGGAAAAUUCUCUUCAAAUGUACAUGAAAACUGACAUGAAUGCUGUUCAAUUAUAGUAGGCCAAUUGAUGCAACACUUUUGAGCUAUGAUCCAUGCUUUAUAAAUUGCACAGCUGAGUCACACACAGGGCUAAAUCAAUCCAUCCCUAUUACAAUUCACUGUAAUGUGUGAAAGUGGUGCCCCUGUGAUAUGAGAUUGGAUCACAUCCACCACAGACAUUUGGAUCUUGAAUAUUAUCGGUUUGGUAAAAAGUCUAAAAUAUGCCCCAGAAAAUGAUUGAAAGUGGUUUGCAGGAGGACAGAAAAAUGGAGGAUGGGAGGGUUAAACUUUAUUCACUGCUAAUUGUCCUCUACUACAGGAUUUGCCUUAGGAGAAAAACACCGUGUUCUGUUUUUCAUGUGACUUGUAAUCCAGUCUUCCAAGCAUUCCUGAAUUAACAAGGCUGGGUAGCUCUCCAUGGAAGCUACAGGAGAAAUAUAAUGAACAUCUUCGAGGGCUGUGGAAUUAAACUGUCCAUCACCACGACAAUUUCCAGUUACUUUGUUCAAGAAGCAUUAAUGAAAUAAAGGGCAAGGUAUACAUGGUAUGAAGGAAACCAUCAGAAAGUGCCCGGCAGAGUUGCAGUUAACUGGUUGAAAUGGUUUUAGCAACAUGGACAUAUUGCUGCUGUGUACAUAUUGCAGUAUGAUAGAAUUCUGCUCUUAUCUCUUCCUCUUGACUGUACAUACCUGACAACUCAAGAAGAGAAACAUCUGACCUAGAAAGACAUUGACCAAUAUUCAGCCACAAACCUUCAGCUCAACACUUUGAUCUUCAUCCUUGUAUCAGGUGGAUCCUUCA